GGAGGCGGCAGAGGUGUGUGGAUUGGCGGGGGUUCCCUCCGACCACCUCCUCCUCCGCCGCCGCCUCAGUUCAGCGUCGCCUUCGAUGCACUCCACGCCUGGAUGGCCACCUUUUCAGACGACUUUCAAAGGCGUCUUCUCCGACCCAUCGAUUUCAUGGGCAUUUCCGCCGGCAAAGUGGUGGUGGCGAUACGCCUCGCUCACCGCUUUAACCCCAUCUUUAACCGCUUCUCUGGCGACUUCCACGCCGCGGUUUCUCUCGUGUUCUCAGGUUUAACAGCUUCCCCGGUCCGAAACUGGGUUGAAGUUGGUUUUCCGAUUUUCUCCGGC
Molecule: long non-coding RNA, 330 nt
Filed under: Salvia miltiorrhiza (redroot sage)
Lineage: Eukaryota; Viridiplantae; Streptophyta; Magnoliopsida; Lamiales; Lamiaceae
Description: long non-coding RNA (SMIL_LNC011777)
Source: RNAcentral